Molecule: long non-coding RNA, 530 nt
Filed under: Macaca mulatta (Rhesus monkey)
Lineage: Eukaryota; Metazoa; Chordata; Mammalia; Primates; Cercopithecidae
Description: lncRNA (ENSMMUG00000037557.2)
Source: RNAcentral
GUUCAGGCCAGUCCACGCUGGGUCACCCAUGUGGCCUGCUGCUUAGCAAUUCCUAAUCACCAUCUUCCCUUCUCAGCCUCUUUUUUUGUGCUAAGAGGUGGCAAAGCCUAUGGGGUAUUCACCUACCUGCUGCAUGAAGGCAACAUGGAGGGACUGUGGUGGAUUAUCUGCAAAGAUGGCCAAAAUUCUCUCAUCCCUACAGGUAUAUACAAGAAAGCCUGAAUUUUGUAAAUGUUCUGCUUAGAAUGAGGAAGAAAGAUGAAGAAUGAGGAGGAUGAAGGGAAGAAUGAGAGAGAGGUAAAGCCAACGAGCAGAGCAGACCUACAUUUGCAGCAUCUCCAAGUUUCUGCAACAGCUUUAUGUUGUUGUUAUGUUUUGUUUUAAUAAAAGUAAAUACCAUUUUUUUCUUUACUGUUAUAUUCUUUUCAUAAGAGCUCAGCUAAAGACAGAUAAUGCUGGAGUCAGCCUUUUCUAAGAAUUAGUCUCUUCAAACUGGCCAUAGAGAUUUGGUAGAAGUCAUGGGUUUUAAU